GGAAAUGUGGCUCAGUAGUAGAGCGCUUGCCUGGUAUGCAUGAAGCCCUGGAUUCAUUUCCU
Molecule: transfer RNA, 62 nt
Filed under: Dipodomys ordii (Ord's kangaroo rat)
Lineage: Eukaryota; Metazoa; Chordata; Mammalia; Rodentia; Heteromyidae
Rfam family: tRNA
About the family: Transfer RNA (tRNA) molecules are approximately 80 nucleotides in length. Their secondary structure includes four short double-helical elements and three loops (D, anti-codon, and T loops). Further hydrogen bonds mediate the characteristic L-shaped molecular structure. tRNAs have two regions of fundamental functional importance: the anti-codon, which is responsible for specific mRNA codon recognition, and the 3' end, to which the tRNAs corresponding amino acid is attached (by aminoacyl-tRNA synthetases). tRNAs cope with the degeneracy of the genetic code in two manners: having more than one tRNA (with a specific anti-codon) for a particular amino acid; and 'wobble' base-pairing, i.e. permitting non-standard base-pairing at the 3rd anti-codon position.
Source: Rfam by way of RNAcentral